AGCCCAGACUCCUACGGGAGGCAGCAGUGGGGGAUAUUGCACAAUGGGGGGAACCCUGAUGCAGCGACGCCGCGUGGGUGAAGGAGUAUUUCGGUCUGUAAAGCCCUAUCGGCAGGGAAGAAGCAAGACGGUACCUGACUAAGAAGCCCCGGCUAACUACGUGCCAGCAGCCGCGGUAAUACGUAGGGGGCGAGCGUUAUCCGGAUUCACUGGGUGUAAAGGGAGCGUAGACGGCCAUGCAAGCCAGGGGUGAAAGCCCGGGGCCCAACCCCGGGACUGCCCUUGGAACUGUGCGGCUAGAGUGCGGGAGGGGCAGGCGGAAUUCCUAGUGUAGCGGUGAAAUGCGUAGAUAUUAGGAGGAACACCAGUGGCGAAGGCGGCCUGCUGGACGAUGACUGACGUUGAGGCUCGAAAGCGUGGGGAGCAAACAGGAUUAGAUACCCGUGUA
This 448-nucleotide ribosomal RNA is filed under the name uncultured bacterium. RNAcentral describes it as "bacterial SSU rRNA". It matches the Rfam family "Bacterial small subunit ribosomal RNA", at positions 328 to 792 of the family's 1533-position model. The record is from RNAcentral.